CCUCUGUGGCUCCAUAUUGAGUGAGCCACUACCUCACCCUGCACCAUCCUAGACCUGGCAGAAAUAGCCUAACUUCCAUCCUGCACAGCAGUGCCAUUGAGCUUGAUGAGUCAGAGUCAACCCUGCAUGUUUAGCACAGAGGCACACCGCUGUGAAUGCUGAACUUCAUCUUGGGGUGACUUCACCUCUUGACAUAGAAGAGGAGGGGGAAGGUUCUGGGAGAUUAGGUCCAUUCUGUAUUCAGAAGAAUGGAAAUGAGUCCUCACUGAUGACUGUGAGGCACAUCCUACUCCAAAUUCUUUUGAAGAUCGUCUUCUUUGUGCCUCAUAAUCCACCUGUUGUCUUCAUUUUAUAGGUGCCAGGCAUUGUGUAGAUGCUGGGAAUGAACAAGAC
This is a long non-coding RNA of Tupaia belangeri chinensis (Chinese tree shrew), 393 nucleotides long. RefSeq lists it as uncharacterized. NCBI's taxonomy places the organism in Eukaryota, Metazoa, Chordata, Mammalia, Scandentia, Tupaiidae. The record is from RefSeq and is a predicted model, not a curated record. The transcript has 3 exons.